Molecule: unclassified non-coding RNA, 510 nt
Filed under: uncultured Glomus
Lineage: Eukaryota; Fungi; Glomeromycota; Glomeromycetes; Glomerales; Glomeraceae
Description: SSU rRNA
Rfam family: Eukaryotic small subunit ribosomal RNA
Source: RNAcentral
AGCAGCCGCGGUAAUUCCAGCUCCAAUAGCGUAUAUUAAAGUUGUUGCAGUUAAAAAGCUCGUAGUUGGAUUUCGGGAUCAAUAUGUUGGUCGUGCCUCGGUACGUACUAGCAUAUUGGUUUCUCCUUUCUGAAGAACCAUGAUGUCAUUUAUUUGGUGUCGUGGGGAAUCAGGACUGUUACUUUGAAAAAAUUAGAGUGUUUAAAGCAGGCUCACGCUUGAAUACAUUAGCAUGGAAUAAUGAAAUAGGACGUUUGAUUCUAUUUUGUUGGUUUCUAGGAUCGACGUAAUGAUUAAUAGGGAUAGUUGGGGGCGAUUAGUAUUCAAUUGUCAGAGGUGAAAUUCUUGGAUUUAUUGAAGACUAACUACUGCGAAAGCAUUUGCCAAGGAUGUUUUCAUUAAUCAAGAACGAAAGUUAGGGGAUCGAAGACGAUCAGAUACCGUCGUAGUCUUAACCAUAAACUAUGCCGACUAGGGAUCGGAUGAUGUUAAUUUUUUAAUGACUCAUUC